AAAAGGAAAGCACUGUUCCAAAUGCAUAGCCUGGAGCAUAGCAAAAUAUGUAAUUAAAGACCCGCGCCUGAUGUCGGGGAGCCUCGAUGUGCGCAUGCGUCCCAGGCUGAGGCCGCCGGAAGAGGUCAGGCGGUUCGCCGGCGUUCCAAGUUGGAGGCCAGCCCAGGACAAGGAGGGGAAGUGCGCAUGUGCUCCAAAUCAUUUCCCGGCCGAGGAAAUUGGCUAAGACCGUUAGCUGGUGGGAAUCGGAAGAGAAUGGGUCACUCGGGCUGUGCGCGGGGCACUAUGGGUGUUGUAGUUUUUGCAGGGUGGUAGCAGUUUGUUCUUUUAAGAGGAAAUCUUCGCGACUAGUUGAGUCACGAAGAUUUGAGACAUGUAUUUUUUUUUCUUUUUUUACUCAGGUUUGGUUAGCAGGACAUUUCCAGGGUAUCACAGUAUACUGAAAUAUUACAAGAAAGGUCCAUAAAUGCUGUACAUCCUCCAAUCUGUAAAUUGUUCAGCAACAGGAAGACAGUGAAAGAUAGACGGCAACUCACCAAGAAGAAUAUGUCAGUGAUUUCCCCUAAGAUGUGAUUGUUCCACAGAAGCAUUCUUCAGGGGAGUGGGUCUGUGCAGGCAGUAAGUGGGAAGAUCUUCACUUAGUGUGCCGUCCUUCCUCAGCUUCAAGAGAAUCCACUUGAAGGAGAAGUCCCAUAUAUUAUGUCCAAUGCUGUGAAGCAUCUUUUGGUGCCUUCAUUUCAUCCAACACCAAAAUCCUCAAUGGUGAAGAAAUCUAUAAAUGUAGUAUUGACCUUGAGAAAAAGUUGAGCACAACUGCGCCCUCAUGCAGCACUGGAGAAACCUAUACAUGUAAAGAAGGACAGUUUUCAUUUGACUCUCAGAGCUGAUUGUAUAUUGGCAAACAUAUUUUUCUGCCAUUGCUUAGGGAUAAGAAAUCUAACAGAAACAUCAAAUAAAAUACUGAAGAGAGA
Molecule: long non-coding RNA, 971 nt
Filed under: Homo sapiens (human)
Lineage: Eukaryota; Metazoa; Chordata; Mammalia; Primates; Hominidae
Description: non-protein coding lnc-CD1D-2:2
Source: RNAcentral